Molecule: ribosomal RNA, 253 nt
Filed under: uncultured bacterium
Lineage: Bacteria
Description: partial 16S ribosomal RNA
Rfam family: Bacterial small subunit ribosomal RNA
Source: RNAcentral
UACGUAGGGUGCGAGCGUUGUCCGGAUUUAUUGGGCGUAAGAGCUCGUAGGCGGUUUGUCGCGUCGGCCGUGAAAUCUCCACGCUUAACGUGGAGCGUGCGGUCGAUACGGGCAGACUUGAGUUCGGUAGGGGAGACUGGAAUUCCUGGUGUAGCGGUGAAAUGCGCAGAUAUCAGGAGGAACACCGGUGGCGAAGGCGGGUCUCUGGGCCGUAACUGGACGCUGAGGAGCGAAAGCAUGGGGAGCGAACAGG